CUUAUCAGAAAAUCAACCAUUGCUCCGAGUUUUAUUUCUAGGAUUUUAUGAUUUUUAUCAUUAAUAUAUUUAUGCCUGAUUGACUUUAUUACCAAUUUUGUAAGAAAGUUUCGCUCUCUAGUUUUUAUAUUUUAAACCUCACGAAGUCUAUUAACUUUUGUACACAGCAGGAACAGUACAUAUUCACUUGUGAGUGAAUCAUUCAGUUGUUUCUUAUGACUUGUCACUUAUCAAUUUUUCUAGUUCGAAAAAUUUAGAUUUUAGCCUCGAACAGUCGAACUUGAGUUUUCUCGGCUUAGUUUAACUGAAACAGUGUUCUGGCUCCUGUUGAGUUGUAUUUUGUUCAGGGAAGGAAUCUGCAAAAGUGUCUGUACUCAGUGUACUGCGUUAUUAAUGUACGAGCGAAUGGCUGCAGCGCAUAUCGUUCCGGAACUUCUGUACACGAUAUGGCUGGUGAUCUACUACAUCCUCGAAGCCGUCGUAUUAUCCCUCAUUCCCAAUCGCAUGAAAGCGCGCAAAGAUAUUAGCGAUGAAGUGGUCCUAAUUACCGGUGGCGGACAUGGUAUUGGGCGAUCGUUGGCAGUUCGGUUCGCGCGGUUGCGCUGUCGGGUGAUUAUUUUGGACAACAAUCAGGAAUGGUUGGAUGAAGCACAGCGGAUUAUUGCAUCGGAAGGAGCGGAUGUGUAUGCAUAUUUAUGCGAUGUCUCCAACAGACAGAAUGUUUACGAAUGCGCGCGGCUGAUUCAGAAUGACGUGGGAGAAGUCUCCAUUUUGGUAAAUAAUGCUGGCAUCGUCUGCUCCAAGUAUUUUAUGGAUCUCCCGGAUGAAAGCAUUACCGAUGUUUUCCGCACUAAUACGUUCGCGCAUUUUUGGACGCUGAAGGCUUUCCUGCCCUCCAUGAUGGAUCGCAAUCAUGGCCACAUUAUAACGAUCGCCAGUGUAGUGGGUAAAGGGGCCGGAUGCGCCGCGUCGGGCUACAUCUCCAGUAAAUUUGCCGCAGUGGGACUGCACGAAGCUUUAGAAAUGGAGCUGAGGAUGCUGAGACGAACCGGGAUCCACAUGACGCUGGUUUGCCCCGGCUUGGUUUCCACCGGCCUUUUCGAAGGCGCAGAAUACAAGUUUCCCCGGUUAGUUCCGGUGCUUGACGCGGAUAAGCUAGCCGAAGAUGUUGUUGACACUGUUUUGCGCAAUGGCCAUCUGGUGAUUACUCCUUUCAUGGCUGAACUCGGGGUUAGAGUCAAAAGGUGAGUGCCGUCCAUUCACUUCGUCUGCGUCCAAAAAGUUAUGUUAUUGAGCGAAGUCCAAAUCGCAUUGCCUGCACCUUUGAUUAUCGUCGCGCAAUGAAAUGGACGCACUUUGAUCACCCUGCUUCCGGUGAAAGCGUGCAAUGCCGUUAUGGACUUUGCCGGUGCCACGACAAUGCUCAAUACAUUCCGCGGCAGACAAACCACUACCACUGCUAUUUCCUGAGAAUGAUUCUCAUAGCAGGCUCUCUGCACACCUCUGACGUUCGAUAAUACUGGAGGAAUUCUUAAUGCCUUAUGCAUGCGGUAUUGGUUAUUUUGUAUGUGUUUGCUCAAACCCCAGUGAUAUAGAAUUUUUAAACUUUUGUCGCGUAACGCAUUAAGUACUUUAUUGGCAUUUUUUAAAGAUGUAUGUACGCGGAUUUCCAAAUUACACAGGAAGUACACAUCCCCUUUUUUAUUUAAAAUUUUGCAAAGGCAUUUCAGUUUUUAUUACAAAUUUUGCAAAGGCGUUGAACAAUGAACAAUUUUUGUUUUGGAAGUCCUCAGUCCAAGAUUAAACUCGUUAACCGAAUGCUUUGGAAACCAAUAAGAAUCAAAACUGGA
Paramacrobiotus metropolitanus is the source of this 1850-nucleotide RNA transcript. It is a transcript of the gene named short-chain dehydrogenase/reductase family 16C member 6-like, with no coding region annotated. The record is from RefSeq and is a predicted model, not a curated record. Lineage: Eukaryota; Metazoa; Tardigrada; Eutardigrada; Parachela; Macrobiotidae. The transcript has 4 exons.